Molecule: signal recognition particle RNA, 270 nt
Rfam family: Archaeal signal recognition particle RNA
UGUGGAGCUAGACUGGGCUGUUAGGCGUAGCCUGUAACCCGAAAUCGUCUAUAGCGGGAGUCGAAAAUCCCGGAAGGUAUCCAAAUUGGCAGAAGCCUCUUUAAUUCAACUGAGAAGCCCAGCCUCAGAAGGUGGUUUUCAUUAUGAAUCCCCCAGGUUCGGAAGAAAGCAAGGGUAAAUAAUGAAAAUUAUGCUUCUGGGUUAACUGGGUGGAGAAGAAUUAGAGAGUAAACUUCUGCUGAUUUGGUUAUCGACCGGGGCUGCUCCACA